Molecule: ribosomal RNA, 207 nt
Filed under: uncultured bacterium
Lineage: Bacteria
Description: partial 16S ribosomal RNA
Rfam family: Bacterial small subunit ribosomal RNA
Source: RNAcentral
CUUGUAGGUGGCCAACUAAGUCGGACGUGAAAUCCCUCGGCUUAACCGGGGAACUGCGUCUGAUACUGGAUGGCUAGAGUUUGGGAGAGGGAUGCGGAAUUCCAGGUGUAGCGGUGAAAUGCGUAGAUAUCUGGAGGAACACCGGUGGCGAAGGCGGCAUCCUGGACCAACACUGACACUGAAAAGCGAAAGCCAGGGGAGCAAACG